CGUAGGGUGCGAGCGUUAAUCGGAAUUACUGGGCGUAAAGUGUGCGCAGGCGGCUCCGCAAGUCGAGUGUGAAAUCCCCGAGCUUAACUUGGGAAUUGCGCCCGAAACUACGGAACUGGAGUGUGGCAGAGGAAGGUGGAAUUCCACGUGUAGCGGUGAAAUGCGUAGAGAUGUGGAGGAACACCGAUGGCGAAGGCAGCCUUCUGGGCCAACACUGACGCUCAUGCACGAAAGCGUGGGGAGCAAACAGGAUUAGAUACCCUGGUAGUCCACGCCCUAAACGAUGAUGACUAGUUGUUGGAGGAGUUAAAUCCUUUAGUAACGCAGCUAACGCGUGAAGUCAUCCGCCUGGGGAGUACGGUCGCAAGAUUA
This 372-nucleotide ribosomal RNA is filed under the name uncultured organism. Its description in RNAcentral is "bacterial SSU rRNA". It matches the Rfam family "Bacterial small subunit ribosomal RNA", at positions 526 to 896 of the family's 1533-position model. The record is from RNAcentral.